CCUACGGGAGGCAGCAGUGAGGAAUAUUGGUCAAUGGUCGGGAGACUGAACCAGCCAAGCCGCGUGAGGGAUGAAGGUACAGAGUAUCGUAAACCUCUUUUGUCAGGGAACAAAGGCGGGGACGUGUCCCCGGAUGAGUGUACCUGAAGAAAAAGCAUCGGCUAACUCCGUGCCAGCAGCCGCGGUAAUACGGAGGAUGCGAGCGUUAUCCGGAUUUAUUGGGUUAAAAGGGUGCGCAGGCGGCCUGUUAAGUCAGCGGUAAAAGCCCGGGGCUCAACCCCGGCCCGCCGUUGAAACUGGCAGUCUCGAGUUGGAGAGAAGUAUGCGGAAUGCGCGGUGUAGCGGUGAAAUGCAUAGAUAUCGCGCAGAACUCCGAUUGCGAAGGCAGCAUGCCGGCUCCACACUGACGCUGAGGCACGAAAGCGUGGGUAUCGAACAGGAUUAGAUACCCUUGUAGUC
RNAcentral lists this ribosomal RNA (459 nucleotides) under uncultured bacterium. RNAcentral describes it as "partial 16S ribosomal RNA". It matches the Rfam family "Bacterial small subunit ribosomal RNA", at positions 338 to 795 of the family's 1533-position model. The record is from RNAcentral.